RNAcentral lists this ribosomal RNA (497 nucleotides) under uncultured bacterium. Its description in RNAcentral is "partial 16S ribosomal RNA". It matches the Rfam family "Bacterial small subunit ribosomal RNA", at positions 28 to 507 of the family's 1533-position model. The record is from RNAcentral.
GAUGAACGCUGGCGGCGUGCCUAAUACAUGCAAGUCGAGCGAACGGACGAGAAGCUUGCUUCUCUGAUGUUAGCGGCGGAAGGGUGAGUAACACGUGGAUAACCUACCUAUAAGACUGGGAUAACUUCGGGAAACCGUAGCUAAUACCGGAUAAUAUUUUGAACCGCAUGGUUCAAAAGUGAAAGACGGUCUUGCUGUCACUUAUAGAUGGAUCCGCGCUGCAUUAGCUAGUUGGUAAGGUAACGGCUUACCAAGGCAACGAUGCAUAGCCGACCUGAGAGGGUGAUCGGCCACACUGGAACUGAGACACGGUCCAGACUCCUACGGGAGGCAGCAGUAGGGAAUCUUCCGCAAUGGGCGUAAGCCUGACGGAGCAACGCCGCGUGAGUGAUGAAGGUCUUCGGAUCGUAAAACUCUGUUAUUAGGGAAGAACAUGUGUGUAAGUAACUGUGCACAUCUUGACGGUACCUAAUCAGAAAGCCACGGCUAACUACGUG